RNAcentral lists this transfer RNA (83 nucleotides) under Ignavibacteriota bacterium. Its description in RNAcentral is "Ignavibacteriae bacterium (activated sludge metagenome) tRNA-Leu". It matches the Rfam family "tRNA". From Rfam's summary of the family: Transfer RNA (tRNA) molecules are approximately 80 nucleotides in length. Their secondary structure includes four short double-helical elements and three loops (D, anti-codon, and T loops). The record is from RNAcentral. RNAcentral also lists the same sequence under 2 other names. Lineage: Bacteria; Pseudomonadati; Ignavibacteriota.
GCCCGAAUGGCGGAAUUGGCAGACGCGCUACAUUCAGGUUGUAGUGUCCUACGGACGUGCAGGUUCAACUCCUGUUUCGGGCA